CCUACGGGAGGCAGCAGUGGGGGAUAUUGCACAAUGGGGGAAACCCUGAUGCAGCGACGCCGCGUGUGGGAAGACGGUCCUCUGGAUUGUAAACCACUGUCCCCAGGGACGAAGAUGACGGUACCUGGGGAGGAAGCUCCGGCCAACUACGUGCCAGCAGCCGCGGUAAUACGUAGGGAGCGAGGGUUGUCCGGAAUUACUGGGUGAAAAGGGAGCGUAGGCGGGACUGCAAGUUGGGUGUCAAAUCUACCGGCUCAACCGGUAGCCGCACUCAAAACUGCAGUUCUUGAGUGAAGUAGAGGCAGGCGGAAUUCCUAGUGUAGCGGUGAAAUGCGUAGAUAUUAGGAGGAACACCAGUGGCGAAGGCGGCCUGCUGGGCUUUUACUGACGCUGAGGCUCGAAAGUGUGGGGAGCAAACAGGAUUAGAUACCCGAGUAGUC
RNAcentral lists this ribosomal RNA (440 nucleotides) under uncultured bacterium. Its description in RNAcentral is "partial 16S ribosomal RNA". It matches the Rfam family "Bacterial small subunit ribosomal RNA", at positions 338 to 795 of the family's 1533-position model. The record is from RNAcentral.